Molecule: long non-coding RNA, 1155 nt
Filed under: Gadus morhua (Atlantic cod)
Lineage: Eukaryota; Metazoa; Chordata; Actinopteri; Gadiformes; Gadidae
Description: lncRNA (ENSGMOG00000025393.1)
Source: RNAcentral
AUGGGAUUUUCUCCCUUCAACGUACACAAUGUCGCCAUAUCUUACCCUCGAUACCUUCGAGGAUGGAGGAGGAGAGAGGAUGCUGGAUGGAGGAGAGAGGAUGCUAGAUGGAGGAGGGGAGAGAGGAUGCUGGAUGGAGGAGGGGAGAGGAUGCUGGAUGGAGGAGGGGAGAGGAUGCUGGAUGGAGGAGGAGAGAGGAUGCUGGAUGGAGGAGGAGGAGAGAGGAUGCUAGAUGGAGGAGGGGAGAGGAUGCUGGAUGGAGGAGGGGAGAGGAUGCUGGAUGGAGGAGGAGGAGAGAGGAUCCUGGAUGGAGGAGGGGAGAGGAUGCUGGAUGGAGGAGGAGGAGAGAGGAUCCUGGAUGGAGGAGGAGGAGAGAGGAUCCUGGAUGGAGGAGGGGAGAGGAUGCUGGAUGGAGGAGGAGGAGAGAGGAUCCUGGAUGGAGGAGGGGAGAGGAUGCUGGAUGGAGGAGGAGGAGAGAGGAUCCUGGAUGGAGGAGGAGGAGAGAGGAUCCUGGAUGGAGGAGGGGAGAGGAUGCUGGAUGGAGGAGGAGGGGAGAGGAUGCUGGAUGGAGGAGGGGAGAGGAUGCUGGAUGGAGGAGGAGGAGAGAGGAUCCUGGAUGGAGGAGGAGGAGAGAGGAUCCUGGAUGGAGGAGGAGGAGAGAGGAUGCUGUUUGGAGGAGGGGAGAGGAUGGUGGAUGGAGGAGGAGGAGAGAGGAUCCUGGAUGGAGGAGGGGAGAGGAUGCUGGAUGGAGGAGGAGGGGAGAGGAUGCUGGAUGGAGGAGGGGAGAGGAUCCUGGAUGGAGGAGGAGGAGAGAGGAUGCUGGAUGGAGGAGGGGAGAGGAUGCUGGAUGGAGGAGGGGAGAGGAUGCUGGAUGGAGGAGGAGGAGAGAGGAUGCUAGAUGGAGGAGGAGGAGAGAGGAUGCUAGAUGGAGGAGGAGGAGAGAGGAUGCUAGAUGGAGGAGGGGAGAGGAUGCUGGAUGGAGGAGGAGGAGAGAGGAUCCUGGAUGGAGGAGGGGAGAGGAUGCUGGAUUGUGGAUGCAGAGGAGAAAUCAUGGUAGACAGAUUAAGGAUCAAAUCGGCACAGGUUGCAAUGAGAGAAAAACUGAAGAAGUUAACGGAUGACUCAUAUUUGUGUGAUGAUUUGGAGACUUUACAA